AGUGGAAUAGCUGGAUCAGAUGGUGGUUCCAUUCCCACUUUUCUGAGGAAUUUCCAUACUGCUUUCCAUAGUGGUUGCACCAAUUUGCAGUCCCACCAACAAU
This 103-nucleotide microRNA precursor is filed under the name Marmota monax (woodchuck). Lineage: Eukaryota; Metazoa; Chordata; Mammalia; Rodentia; Sciuridae. The record is from RNAcentral.